UCCCUUGUGGUCCAGUGGCUAGGAUUCUCCGCUUUCACCGGAGCGGCCGGGGUUCGAUUCCCCGCGAGGGAG
Massospora cicadina is the source of this 72-nucleotide non-coding RNA. NCBI's taxonomy places the organism in Eukaryota, Fungi, Entomophthoromycota, Entomophthoromycetes, Entomophthorales, Entomophthoraceae. The record is from the annotation of a GenBank genome assembly.